RNAcentral lists this ribosomal RNA (622 nucleotides) under Porpidia melinodes. RNAcentral's name for it is "LSU rRNA". It matches the Rfam family "Eukaryotic large subunit ribosomal RNA", at positions 30 to 667 of the family's 3401-position model. Lineage: Eukaryota; Fungi; Ascomycota; Lecanoromycetes; Lecideales; Lecideaceae. The record is from RNAcentral.
GAACUUAAGCAUAUCAAUAAGCGGAGGAAAAGAAACCAACAGGGAUUGCCUCAGUAACGGCGAGUGAAGCGGCAACAGCUCAAAUUUGAAAUCUGACCCCUUCGGGGCCCGAGUUGUAAUUUGUAGAGGAUGCUUCGGGUGCGGUGCCGGUCUAAGUUCCUUGGAACAGGACGUCAUAGAGGGUGAGAAUCCCGUAUGCGACCGGCGGCCAACCCCGUGUGAAGCCCCUUCGACGAGUCGAGUUGUUUGGGAAUGCAGCUCAAAAUGGGUGGUAAAUUUCAUCUAAAGCUAAAUAUCGGCCAGAGACCGAUAGCGCACAAGUAGAGUGAUCGAAAGAUGAAAAGCACUUUGGAAAGAGAGUCAAACAGUACGUGAAAUUGUUGAAAGGGAAGCGCUUGCAACCAGACCUGCCCGCGGGCGAUCAGCCGUUAUUCUUAGCGGUGCACUCGUCCGCGAUCAGGCCAGCAUCGGUUCGGGCGGCCGGAUAAAGGCCUCGGGAAUGUAGCUCCCCCCGGGGAGUCUUAUAGCCCGGGGUGCAAUGCGGCCAGCCCGGACCGAGGACCGCGCUUCGGCUAGGAUGCUGGCGUAAUGGUUGUAAGCGACCCGUCUUGAAACACGGACC